GACGAACGCUGGCGGCGUGCCUAAUACAUGCAAGUAGAACGCACAGUUUAUACCGUAGCUUGCUACACCAUAAACUGUGAGUUGCGAACGGGUGAGUAACGCGUAGGUAACCUGCCUGGUAGCGGGGGAUAACUAUUGGAAACGAUAGCUAAUACCGCAUAAUAUUGAUUAUUGCAUGAUAAUUGAUUGAAAGAUGCUAUUGCAUCACUACCAGAUGGACCUGCGUUGUAUUAGCUAGUAGGUGAGGUAACGGCUCACCUAGGCGACGAUACAUAGCCGACCUGAGAGGGUGAUCGGCCACACUGGGACUGAGACACGGCCCAGACUCCUACGGGAGGCAGCAGUAGGGAAUCUUCGGCAAUGGACGAAAGUCUGACCGAGCAACGCCGCGUGAGUGAAGAAGGUUUUCGGAUCGUAAAGCUCUGUUGUAAGAGAAGAACGGGUGUGGGAGUGGAAAGUUCACACUGUGACGGUAUCUUACCAGAAAGGGACGGCUAACUACGUG
This 505-nucleotide ribosomal RNA is filed under the name uncultured bacterium. Its description in RNAcentral is "partial 16S ribosomal RNA". It matches the Rfam family "Bacterial small subunit ribosomal RNA", at positions 28 to 507 of the family's 1533-position model. The record is from RNAcentral.